RNAcentral lists this long non-coding RNA (311 nucleotides) under Medicago truncatula (barrel medic). Its description in RNAcentral is "lncRNA gene31182". Lineage: Eukaryota; Viridiplantae; Streptophyta; Magnoliopsida; Fabales; Fabaceae. The record is from RNAcentral.
UUUUGUUUCAUUUCAUUACCAAUAUCUUUGAGUACAAAGUUAUAAUUGCAAGGACCGUUGAAAUUAUAAGAAGAGAAAUAUAAAAAGACAAUUAUUGGGUUCUCCAAGAUUAACUAAAUGAAAACUAGAAAAUAUUAUAGUAUAAGGUAGUAUUUCAUAUAUUUAUUGCUAUUAUAAGAGCACAUUCUUCCAUUCAUGAUGUAAGUGUACUCUUUUUAGGUUGGAACUCAUGUAAUCGAGCUAAUCUACACCAGUUAUUAACACACUCAUAUUGACGAAUAUAAUCACUCUUUGGACAAUCAUCAGUAGUU